This 357-nucleotide ribosomal RNA is filed under the name Triticum aestivum (bread wheat). Its description in RNAcentral is "partial small subunit ribosomal RNA". The record is from RNAcentral. Lineage: Eukaryota; Viridiplantae; Streptophyta; Magnoliopsida; Poales; Poaceae.
AUGGAUCUGGCGAUCGAAGCCUUCCUCGACCGACUGGACAACACCCUCAAGGCCCAAAACAAGGCAAUAGCGGAGAUCCAAGCGUCCACGACCAAGAUCGACGAUCUGGUCAACUGGCGUCCCGAUCUGGAGAAGCGCGUCUCUGAUCUGGGUGACGCGGUGGCGGCGCUCCAGAUGGCGCAGCCGCCGUCCAACAAGUCGAGCGACGAGCCUCAGGGGACGAAUCCGAAGCAAAACCCUUCUGCGACGACCGGCGUGCUCACGGGGCCCGGUGGCGGCGAGGGCAGCGAUCUGCGAGGGCCAAGUGGCCACGGCGUUUUCAAGUUACCACGGGGAACGUGGCGGCGUCCUUCCUGA